RNAcentral lists this ribosomal RNA (470 nucleotides) under Rhabdophis chiwen. Its description in RNAcentral is "partial 16S ribosomal RNA". It matches the Rfam family "Bacterial large subunit ribosomal RNA", at positions 1861 to 2603 of the family's 2925-position model. The record is from RNAcentral. Lineage: Eukaryota; Metazoa; Chordata; Lepidosauria; Squamata; Natricidae.
GCCCAGUGAACAAUUAAACGGCCGCGGUACCCUAACCGUGCAAAGGUAGCAUAAUCAUUUGUCUAUUAACUGUAGACCUGUAUGAAAGGCAAAAUGAGGGUUUAACUGUCUCUUAUAAUAAAUCUAUUAAACUGAUCCCCCAGUAAAAAAGCUGGGAUACUCCCAUAAGACCAGAAGACCCUGUGAAGCUUUAACUAAACUAUUAAACUAAAUAAUAACUACUUUAGGUUGGGGCGACCUUGGAAAUAAAAAGAACUUCCAACAUAACAAAUAAUCAUUAAGGCCCACAAGCCAAUUAACGACCCAGUAAUACUGAUAAUUGAACUAAGUUACUCCAGGGAUAACAGCGCCAUCUUCUUCAAGAGCCCAUAUCAAAAAGAAGGUUUACGACCUCGAUGUUGGAUCAGGACACCCCAAUGGUGCAACCGCUAUUAAAGGUUCGUUUGUUCAACGAUUAAUGUCCUACGUGA